CAGUAGCCGCGGUAAUACGGAGGGUGCAAGCGUUAAUCGGAAUUACUGGGCGUAAAGCGUGCGUAGGCGGUUCGUUAAGUCUGUUGUGAAAGCCCCGGGCUCAACCUGGGAAUGGCAAUGGAUACUGGCGAGCUAGAGUGUGUCAGAGGAUGGUGGAAUUCUUGGUGUAGCGGUGAAAUGCGUAGAUAUCAAGAGGAACACCUGAGGUGAAGACGCGUUGCUGGGCUGAUACUGACGCUGAGGCGCGAAAGCUAGGGUAGCAAACGGGAUUAGAUACCCCAGUAGUCCCUGUCUCUUAUAC
This 301-nucleotide ribosomal RNA is filed under the name uncultured bacterium. RNAcentral describes it as "partial 16S ribosomal RNA". It matches the Rfam family "Bacterial small subunit ribosomal RNA", at positions 509 to 807 of the family's 1533-position model. The record is from RNAcentral.